This 164-nucleotide small nuclear RNA is filed under the name Balaenoptera musculus (blue whale). RNAcentral describes it as "U1 spliceosomal RNA (ENSBMSG00010004431.1)". It matches the Rfam family "U1 spliceosomal RNA". From Rfam's summary of the family: U1 is a small nuclear RNA (snRNA) component of the spliceosome (involved in pre-mRNA splicing). Its 5' end forms complementary base pairs with the 5' splice junction, thus defining the 5' donor site of an intron. Lineage: Eukaryota; Metazoa; Chordata; Mammalia; Artiodactyla; Balaenopteridae. The record is from Rfam by way of RNAcentral.
AUACUUACCUGGCAGGGGAGAUACCAUGAUCAUGAAGGUGGUUUUCCCAGGAUGAGGCUCACCCAUUGCACUGGGGGUGUGCUGACGCCUGCGAUUUCUCCAAAUGGGAGAAACUCGACUGCAUAAUUUGUGGUAGUGGGGGACUGUGUGCGCGCUUCCCCCCC